GUAGACGUCAUAGUCUAGCCUGCUCACUGACAAAGAUGUUAAAUAGCCGCGGUAUUUUGACCGUGCAAAGGUAGCAUAAUCAUUAGUUUUUUAAUUGGAAACUUGUAUGAAUGGUUGGACAAAGAAAAAGCUGUCUCUUUUAUUAAAAUUGAAAUUAACUUCUAAGUGAAAAGGCUUAGAUUUUCUAGAGGGACGAUAAGACCCUAUAAAGCUUUAUAAAUUAAGUAAGUUAGAACAAAUUUUAUAGAAUAAAGGUAAAUUUAAUAUAUUUAUUUGGUUGGGGCGACAAUGGUAUAAAUUAAAUAACUGCUAUUAAAAUUAAACAAUUAUAUUUGAUUAAAAUUAUAAUUGAUCCUUAUUAUGGAUUAAAAGAUCAAGUUACUUUAGGGAUAACAGCGUAAUUUCUUUUAAGAGUUCUUAUCAAAGAAGAAGUUUGCGACCUCGAUGUUGAAUUAAAAUGUCUUUAUAGUGCAGAAGCUAUAAAAGAAGGUCUGUUCGACCUUUAAUUUUUUACAUGAUUGAUUUUUCAAACCAAAA
RNAcentral lists this ribosomal RNA (537 nucleotides) under Scylla tranquebarica (purple mud crab). Its description in RNAcentral is "partial 16S ribosomal RNA". It matches the Rfam family "Bacterial large subunit ribosomal RNA", at positions 1840 to 2624 of the family's 2925-position model. Lineage: Eukaryota; Metazoa; Arthropoda; Malacostraca; Decapoda; Portunidae. The record is from RNAcentral.